CAAAAUAUCAAAAGUUAUAUUUUAUAACUUAAAAUAUUUUCUAAUACUUGAAAUCAUUUUUAUAUGAUUUUAAAAACAUUAAUACUAUUUUUCCUUAAUUAAUUUUAGUGCGUAGCUUAAGAAAAUAGCUACCUCGUGCUUAACUCCAGUAAUGCCCAUCUCUUGGCAUAAACUUAUAUAUGUUAACGUGAUACUCCAUUUUAAAUUUUGUGGCAAUCAGAGUUGUAGAACUCCGUUUAUAGCGAUUUCCGUCGGAAAAUCACAAAAAUUGUAAUGGUCAUAACUUGGUCGUUUUAACUCGGAAUUAGCUCAUUUUUGGACACGAGCUACUUAAUACCAUAUAUUUUCAUUUCCCAAAAGCCUGUAAUUUUUCUCAUUAACUAAAUGUCCAAAACAGCCCUCGGAAAAUCUUGGCCAGAAACUUUUUGCACUUUGGCAGUUUUGGAGUCCUUCACCAAAACUUAAAUAAAACGAAAUCUGUAACUCCGAUUAAUGAUCCGUCAAUUUUUUUGGAUUCGUAUCUUUCGGAACUAUAGUUUUCAUAUAUCACAAUCCAUAUUUGGACAUGUUAAGCUCCCGGAAUUUAGCCCGGAAGUGGCUGUUACAAACUGUCCUUCUAACAGUUUUUCUUAACUUUGUGUAGUUUGGUAAAAAUUCCAUAACUUUCUCCUCCGAUGUCGGAUUUAGUCCGUUUCGGAGUCUAUGGAAAGCUUAUUGAGUGUACUAUAACAUAUCACAGGUCCAGAAUUUUUAGAGCACCUUAACAAAUCCGAAAUUUUCUGUUUAGAGCAGCAGUUCACUAAUUCAUUUAAAACAAAAAAACUGUUUUGGUUCAUCUUCUUUGUUAAAGCUUAUCAACCCUAAAAAUGGCAAGAUCUAACCAUAAAAUAUCAUAUAUCAUGUAGAUCUUCCCUCAUAUGGAUCAUAAGUUCAACACUUGGUCUAAAACAACCAUCACAAAACACAUAAACUAACUAGAGUUUUGAGUUUAUGAAAUUUUAUACCUUUGAUUCCAACCAAAAUCAACACCCAAUAUUGUUAGAUCUAAACAUGAAACACUUAUAUAUACAUAGAUCUAAAGUUUUAAACCUCAAGAUCACAACUUCAAGUUGACAAAAAUCAAAUCAAACUACCUAAGGAAUUAGCAUACACAAGUAGAAAUUUUUGUUAUACCUUAGCUUGAUUUCCUUUCUCCUCCUUCUUUCUUCCUUCCAUGGAUGGAUCUUGGUUUCAUGAGAGCCAAAAUCUCCCCUCCCUCUUCUCCAUGUGGCUGCUGAACUCUCCCCUUCUCUCUCCCUUUUUGCUCUCUUAAGUUCCUUGUAACUUGGAAGAAUAAAAGAGGAACCUCAAGAUUUUUUUAUUUUUUUUCCAAACCCACUCUCUUUCUCUCCUUAUGUCAUCCGGCCAUGCCUUCAUUCUCUACAUUCCCCACUCCUUCUCCCUCCUACUAAUCACUUAAAGUCUUGCUUGCAUGGAUGAAAAUAUUAAUUACCCUAAAAAGGCUAG
This 1506-nucleotide long non-coding RNA is filed under the name Panax ginseng (ginseng). Its description in RNAcentral is "long non-coding RNA (PGIN_LNC005492)". The record is from RNAcentral. Lineage: Eukaryota; Viridiplantae; Streptophyta; Magnoliopsida; Apiales; Araliaceae.